RNAcentral lists this ribosomal RNA (253 nucleotides) under uncultured bacterium. RNAcentral describes it as "partial 16S ribosomal RNA". It matches the Rfam family "Bacterial small subunit ribosomal RNA", at positions 524 to 776 of the family's 1533-position model. The record is from RNAcentral.
UACGUAGGGUGCGAGCGUUAAUCGGAAUUACUGGGCGUAAAGCGUGCGCAGGCGGCGCGUUAAGACAGGUGUGAAAGCCCCGGGCUCAACCUGGGAAUGGCGAUGGAUACUGGCUCGCUAGAGUGCGGUAGAGGAGAGUGGAAUUCCCGGUGUAGCAGUGAAAUGCGUAGAGAUGUGGAGGAAUACCGAUGGCGAAGGCAGCCCCCUGGGACGUCACUGACGCUCAUGCACGAAAGCGUGGGGAGCAAACAGG